GAUGAACGCUGGCGGCGUGCCUAAUACAUGCAAGUCGAGCGAACAGACGAGGAGCUUGCUCCUCUGACGUUAGCGGCGGACGGGUGAGUAACACGUGGAUAACCUACCUAUAAGACUGGGAUAAAUUCGGGAAACCGGAGCUAAUACCGGAUAAUAUAUUGAACCGCAUGGUUCAAUAGUGAAAGACGGUUUUGCUGUCACUUAUAGAUGGGUCCGCGCCGCAUUAGCUAGUUGGUAAGGUAACGGCUUACCAAGGCAACGAUGCGUAGCCGACCUGAGAGGGUGAUCGGCCACACUGGAACUGAGACACGGUCCAGACUCCUACGGGAGGCAGCAGUAGGGAAUCUUCCGCAAUGGGCGAAAGCCUGACGGAGCAACGCCGCGUGAGUGAUGAAGGUCUUCGGAUCGUAAAACUCUGUUAUUAGGGAAGAACAAAUGUGUAAGUAACUAUGCACGUCUUGACGGUACCUAAUCAGAAAGCCACGGCUAACUACGUG
Molecule: ribosomal RNA, 497 nt
Filed under: uncultured bacterium
Lineage: Bacteria
Description: partial 16S ribosomal RNA
Rfam family: Bacterial small subunit ribosomal RNA
Source: RNAcentral